ACGUAGCCGUUCCGCAGGCUCUCCGGGCCGCUCCCGGGGCGAGCGAGGGGGGCAGCCGCCCCGCCGCCGUCCGGCGGCUGGGGGAGUUUGCUAGGUCCAUGCUGGGAGGCGGCGGCGGCGGCGGCUUCUCUCUCUUCCCUCAUGGUGGUCUGGGGAAAGCGUGGGUCUCGUCAGCUCCGUCUCCUCCUGCCUGGCGCUGCCUGCCUCAUCUCCGCCCGGGAAAGGCUCUCGGGUCAGCCGCGGGCUCCUCUCCCCGACUGAGCGGCGGAGUCUGGAGCAUGGUGGGUAACGAAGGGGAAAGCGAGAGAAGGAGCCGGACCUGCUGCUGGCUGCUUCUGGGGUGCAGCGCAGUCUGCGGUACCAGGAUAGGCAGGAAGCCUGCAUUAGCACCCCCGCUGUGCCGCUGACCAGGAGCUGCCCGAGGAGAAUAAACUUACAACUUGAUUUUCAGAGGGCAGAGUACAUGCAACUCCAGUUGAAGUCAAGUGAAGUUGCUGGUGCUCAAUAUCUUCAUUGCUUGUGCUGCGACAGCAAAAAUAUUAGUCUUCUCUUUCCGAUGUGGAUUUUUCUUGUCUACAGUAUUGAUGUCAGUCAUUGUGAACGUAGUGACUAAAUGUGGAAAAUAUUUUUUUAGUAGUAUAGCAAACAAUAAACAUUCUGAAAUAAGGACCCUUAUUGAAAUAUCUUUGAAUAUGUUGGACAUAUCUACUGAACCAUGAAUAUACAAACCAUAUACAUUGGCCCAAACACUGUGGUUAUUCUCACCCCAUGCAAUCCCAUUGACUUCAGCAAUGCAUUUCGCUCCAGAAGUUUACCUGUCUCUUAAGAUUUGAGAUCUAAUUUUUUUCCUUGUCUAUCCCUUGUUUUUAGUGAGCUUUGUCAGCCCUGCGUAUCAAGCGGGACUGCCCCUGUUGGCCCAGUGUGGGGUUGGUACAUCCUGUCACACAAUCGUCAGGCCUCCCUGUGGGAUCAGGCAAUUGUAAUAAGGAGGGCUCAGGACCCCUGCAUGGCUGAGCAAACAAUCAGUUCUCAGCCCCUAAGCAAGGCAGAACAAAGCAAACAGUCUAUGGCCCCGAGCCUCCUGGCUGGGGCAGACAAUAGCUGUUGGGGUUUCUGAUCCUCUUGGUAAGGCAGAACAAUCAAACAAUCAGUCUGUAGCCCCUCGGUGGGGCAGAGCAAGCAAACUGUAACCACACCAAGUGGCAAGGAUGGGGUUAGAAUAGGGGAACCCUACUCCAGCGGGUUCCAACCCAGGGCCCUAUGAAGCUGGUAAAUUCCCCAUUAAGGGUUUAAGCAUCAGCUUUUAUUACAUUCCCUGGUCACUUCUACUGCAAGGUGCAUCAUGGGCAUCUCCUUGGCUGGCAGUGGCUCAGCAUCCCAGUCAGUAUCUAUGGUCAGCUGGUCUUCCGCAAUGUAGUUUGGGUCCACGAUUCCUAUGGCUUGGAGAAUCGCAGGUGCCUCUGCGAGAGCUUGCAAUACACGUCCGUCCUUCUCCUCAGCCAGCCCAGACUGAGCUGAACUGCCUCCUUUUACCUGUCCCUUCCACCUGGAGCAUGUGCAGCAGGGGCGAGGGGGCAUGAUCUCCUGAGCCCACAGAGAUUGGUCAGGCCCCCCUGGCCCAGUGUGGGGUUGAUACAUCCUGUCACAAGCCUCAGUAUCUUGUGUUUCACAAUCUGGCCUAUAGCCUAAUCCAGUGUUUCCCAAACUUGGGACACCAUUUGUUCAGGGAAAGCCCCUGGCACGCCGGACCUGUUUGUUUACCUGCCGGGUCUGCAGGUUCAGCUGAUUGCGGCUCCGACUGGCUGUGGUUCGCGGCUCCAGGCCAAUAGGGGCUGUGGGAAGCGACGGCCGGUACGCCCCUCGGCCUGCACCACUUCCCGCAGUCCCCAUCGGCCUAUAGCGGCAAACAGCGGCCAGUGGGAGCCGCGAUAGGCUGAACCUGCAGACACAGAGGUAAACAAAGUGGCCCGGCCCGCCAGGGGCUUUCCCAGAACAAGUGGCAUCCCAAGUUUGGGAAACACUGGCCUAGUUAUAACAUUUGCACUCCCGUCUUCUCCUUCAUUCUACUCUUUUCAUUUCUCCAUGUCUUUGAGUUGCUAUAGAUUUUUCAACAUUCAUUACAACUAGCUGAAACAAGAAGACUGAUCCAGUUCUCAGUGAAGUGCAGAAUAUCAAAUGGGAGUUGGGUUGGAACCUAGAUAAACAGCAUAGAUUGUACCAAGUUCUACAUGUUCUUUCACUGUUACAUACCAAUUUAUAAUAUAAUAACUUUGCCAUAUGUUAUUAUUUGUAUUUUAUUAGAAGCUAGAAUAUCAGGGCUCCAUUGGUAUAGACACUAUAUAAGCAUAUAACAAUGAUAGUUUAUAUUGAUUUUAGGUUACUCCCCAAAAGACCUUGUGACGGACAUGGAGCUGCUGUGUAAUAAUUUAUUAAUAUUGUAGAUUGACGUAGUUAUUGGGAUGUUUACUCGAUGACUAUAUUGGGUUAAAUCAACAGUGUUGGGAAAGAGGCAGAUAGGGGAAGCAGUGACUAGAGAAAAGACAUCUGUCAGUGAGCAGCUGAAGGUUGUUAUAGGACAAUGGGUUAACCAUUGGCUCUGAGGAGACUGGUUCAGCCUCCUCCUAAGCCCACCAGACUGGUUUAGGACAGCAGGGCCAAAAAGCCUGGUAACUUAGAAGACAAAGGGACUUAAUAACAAGAGAUUCUCUCUAGUAGAGAGGCAGUUGUUUCUGAGAAUCUGUUCAGUCUG
Dermochelys coriacea (leatherback sea turtle) is the source of this 2749-nucleotide long non-coding RNA. RefSeq lists it as uncharacterized. The record is from RefSeq and is a predicted model, not a curated record. The transcript has 3 exons. Lineage: Eukaryota; Metazoa; Chordata; Testudines; Dermochelyidae.